GCAAGGUGUUAAUGAUGAGCCUUUCAGAGGUGCUGGGUGCUUAUGGCUCCCACGAAGGUCACUUAGAGCUUUGUACACUAACACUCCUGGAAAGGUUCUGGCUGGCACCC
Gallus gallus (chicken) is the source of this 110-nucleotide microRNA precursor. The record is from Ensembl. NCBI's taxonomy places the organism in Eukaryota, Metazoa, Chordata, Aves, Galliformes, Phasianidae.